UACGUAGGGCGCAAGCGUUAUCCGGAAUUAUUGGGCGUAAAGAGCGCGCAGGCGGUCGUUCAAGUCGCGUGUGAAAGCCCCCGGCUCAACUGGGGAGGGUCACGCGAUACUGAUCGACUGGAAGGCAGGAGAGGGUAGUGGAAUUCCCGGUGUAGUGGUGAAAUGCGUAGAUAUCGGGAGGAACACCAGUGGCGAAGGCGACUACCUGGCCUGUUCUUGACGCUGAGGCGCGAAAGCUAGGGGAGCAAACGGG
RNAcentral lists this ribosomal RNA (253 nucleotides) under uncultured bacterium. RNAcentral's name for it is "partial 16S ribosomal RNA". It matches the Rfam family "Bacterial small subunit ribosomal RNA", at positions 524 to 776 of the family's 1533-position model. The record is from RNAcentral.